Planococcus citri (citrus mealybug) is the source of this 2109-nucleotide long non-coding RNA. RefSeq lists it as uncharacterized. The transcript is spliced from 3 exons. The record is from RefSeq and is a predicted model, not a curated record. Lineage: Eukaryota; Metazoa; Arthropoda; Insecta; Hemiptera; Pseudococcidae.
UCCCUGACGAGAGCCACCGGAGAAGAUUACCGACCAUACGUCAUUCACGGAGAUAACAUUCCAGCCCUUACGUGUGCAAACAAACCUGGAGCACCAACGUUGAAACACGUUACAGAGAUCAAGAUGCAUUAUAUUUUGAAUGCUGUAAUCGAGAAUCAAGUCACUUUAGAGUGGGUUAGAUCAGCUGACCAAGACGCUGACAUUUUGACGAAAGCCUUACCGAAAGAGACGUUUAUAGAGCAGAGAGACAGAUUACUGAGUGAAAUUAAGUAGAGUUUUCAUCCCCGAGCCCGUCCCGCCAUGAAUUCAGAGUAAACAGAGUAGUACAGACUAAUACAGAUAUGCGUAUGUGUUUAUUAAUUGUUUUAGAUCCUGGUUCAAUUGAAGACGCGAUUGAAGGUCUGCAUCAAUUAAUCGAGAUGUCGCGUAUUUACCACUUUGCGCUGGAUGAACACCCGCAACGCGUAUUAAUGAUGCUGCGAACAGAGAACCUGACUAUUGAUGAACGUAGACGUCAGAGAAAUCGCGAACGGAGACACCGCAAUCGAGUGCAUCGCCGAAACGCCGAUAACGUAGACGACGGUAUUGACGUCGAUUAUUUUUCCGAUUCUGAAGAUCGUGGUCCAGGCGAUGCUGCGCCGAAUUUUCAAUUACUAGGCGAACGUUUACUUGAUGAAGCCUAUCAACGGAGAAAUCAACACGAUAACGACGAUCAACCAAUGGGAUAAACAGAGAGAAAAACAGAGAAAAAUUUUUUAUUUGUAAUUUGUCGUUGAAUUGUUCCGAAUAUUCAUGUGUUGAAUCUGUGUUCCUGUUUAUUUGAAUUUUGUGAUUUAUUUGUUCCUGUUAAUUAUAAGCUGUAAAUAUGUUUUUGCGAAAGAUGAGUCGCGCAGGGAGGGAGUGUUAGCCGCCAGGCUGCGCUCCUCAACACAGAGAUACUCCGCCCGUGUAACGCGGCCCUGCCGCGCUACGAGCUACGUACGCUCGUGUAACUAUUCGCACUUGCUGUUUUGUUAUACUACGUGUUAGAUGUGUUCUCCGUAUUAUUCCGAGUAUUGUUUUGUUUGAUGAAGUUAUUAUUGUUUGAAUAAUAUAUUAAUUGAUUAAUUAAUAUUCUCCGUGUCGACUCGUUAUUUCCGUAAUUAUCGAUUACUCCAAGUUCUCGCCGAUAUCACAAUGUUCUGAAAUAAUCGUGAAACUCGAUCACUCGUUAUGUUUAUAGAUUUCUUCUGGAGAUUUUUAGAAUUUUUGGUGGCUGCUGCAUUCUCAGGCGCAUUUUUUUAUUCGUUUUUUAACGUACUUCGACACAGAUGUUUAAUGCUAACCGUUUCUAUCUUUUUAUUAUGGUUCUUUGCAUUCUCUACACUUUUCACAAUGAUCAUGGUGAUCAAAGUUGCAAAUUUCUGGGACGUGAUUUUGUAUCUUUUAGUGUUAAUAUUUCGCGCUGUUUUUAACCUAUAUUCCAUAUGGAUAUUGUACAGUUACAAAGUGCAAUUCAGAAAACCUGUUCCGGUUAACAUAUGAAAUGAAUUUUGACAGGAAAUGUGUGCAUUUUUGAAAAAGGAAUAAGUACUUCUAUAAUUUCCAUGCACAAUUCAUUUUCUAUUUCAAUGGACUGUUUUUUUUUUCAUUUUUAUUGUGUAAUAUUAUUAUUGAUUUAAGAAAAAUGUACCUUAUACCUACUCGUAUUACACAGUUGGGCAGUGAGCACUGUCAAGUAUCGAGUACAUAUCUGUAUAAUCCUCUGGAUAAGUACCUACCUAUACCGUAGUUUAUAUCUGUGUUUCAUUUUCUUUGUCAUUGAAAUUUUACAAAAGAAUGUGAAAUUAUUGAAAAUUGUUCCUGUUUGAAUAUAAGAAAAUUAUGAAAAAAAUAUAUCUACUAUCAUAUUGUAAAUGUACCUAUGUGUAGAUACAUAUAAUACUUAAUGUUAAAUUAAUUUUUUAAUUUUAACAAAAUGUUUUAUACCUAAGUACGUUUAUUUUAUUCUGGAGGUGGUAUCUAUAAAAUAUUUUCGACUAGUUUGUAAGAAUGUCCAAUGCUGUCCAUCAUCUAAGUAAGACCCAUAGCAGUGUGAUUUUUAGAAAAUAAAAAUUGUGUUUUAUCGUU